Molecule: long non-coding RNA, 427 nt
Organism: Panthera uncia (snow leopard)
Lineage: Eukaryota; Metazoa; Chordata; Mammalia; Carnivora; Felidae
Exons: 3
Source: RefSeq, a predicted model, not a curated record
GACUAAGAAGACAUACGCCUGCUGGAGACUCUGCGGUCAUAGUUCUGCUGAGAGGCAAGCGGGUGGGCAAGAUAUGUGGGGAAACCUCAAGGAAGAAGAAACGGACAUUGAUGGUGUGGGAUGGAAAUUGCCGCCAGUGGGGUAGACAGCAGACACAGAAGACUGAUAGAGGGGGAUCUAAAUCAAAGCAAACAGGGGCCAUUGGAUUAUUUCACGUGAGGGGAUCGAGAUGAUCCUGGUUGCAUGUGAGAAAGAUCGUUGUGGCAGCAGCAAAGAGUGUCAAUUGGGAAGCCAGGUAAGAAGCGGCAAGAGCCUGAGGGGUGAGAAGAAGGACUGGAGAAGGGGGCUCCAGUCCCAGACGAGGUGUAACUGGGCGGUGUGUAUGGGAGGGAGGGGAGCCCUCUACAGGGAACACAACAAAGCCACG